This 489-nucleotide ribosomal RNA is filed under the name uncultured bacterium. RNAcentral's name for it is "partial 16S ribosomal RNA". It matches the Rfam family "Bacterial small subunit ribosomal RNA", at positions 28 to 507 of the family's 1533-position model. The record is from RNAcentral.
GACGAACGCUGGCGGCGUGCUUAACACAUGCAAGUCGAACGGAAAGGCCCCCACCUUGGUGGGGGUGCUCGAGUGGCGAACGGGUGAGUAACACGUGGGUGAUCUGCCCUGUACUUCGGGAUAAGCUUGGGAAACUGGGUCUAAUACCGGAUAGAACCAUGGUUUAGUGUCUCAUGGUGGAAAAAUUAUUGUUUUGGUGCAGGAUGAGCUCGCGGCCUAUCAGCUUGUUGGUGGGGUAAUGGCCUACCAAGGCGUCGACGGGUAGCCGGCCUGAGAGGGUGGACGGCCACAUUGGGACUGAGAUACGGCCCAGACUCCUACGGGAGGCAGCAGUGGGGAAUAUUGCACAAUGGGCGCAAGCCUGAUGCAGCGACGCCGCGUGGGGGAUGACGGCCUUCGGGUUGUAAACUCCUUUCGUUAGGGACGAAGCCACACCUUUUUUGGGUGUGGUGACGGUACCUUUGUGAAGAAGCACCGGCUAACUACGUG